AACUUUUUUAUUUAGAACAAGGGACAGAAGCGCGGGGCUUUCUGGGACGGAUUUUUGGUGCAAGCUCCUCUUCAAAUCAAUGCAAAUUAGCACAACAUAAUUAGCACAACAUUUUGGUCCUUUUUUUUUGGUUUUUUUUGUUUUUUUUUGUGGUCAAGGCCCUGCUGCGGGGACGACGUCCCCGGCUCUGCGGUGUCCUGUGAGGAGGGCAGGGGGGUGUUGGGGCCGGUGCCCCCCAGGCAGGGCUGGGGUCUCCCCGGCGGUGGGAUGGGUGCUUGGGCACCCGGCGCCCCCUCCCCACGUGUGGGCAAUGAGGUUCUCUGACCGUAAUUUGGGGUGUUGCAGACCGGAGGGGACAAGAGGCUUGAAACGGAGCGAGGGAUGUGGCUGGGGACACAGCGGUGACCCUGCCUGGGGGGGCCACGUGCCGGACCCCCCCACCUCAGAGCCAGGGGCACCGCGGUGCGUGGAGGUGGGCGAGGGGCUCGGGCACGCAGCAGGCAGCAGCGGGGCGCAGGGGGGCUCGGGGGGGCAGCAGGGCGAAGGGGGGGCCCUCCAGGGGCUGCCAGGGAGCCGGAGGGGGGCUUCCACGGGGGGCCAGGCCUGCGGGACGGCACACGGGGCUCCGGCAGUGGGGCCAGGGGCACCCACCCCACUGCAACCCCCCCAUGGGGCCGGGGCCAGGCAGGGAGGGGGAGCAGCUCCCCCCACCCUCCUGCAGCCCCUGGGACCCCGCAGGGCACCGGGGGCUCCCCCCCUGGCCGUGCCCGGGGGUCCCAGCCCCCGGCACCCCCUGCCCCGUGGCCCUUUUACCGCAGCGAGCGUCGUCCCAGGGGCUGGAGGCGCAGAAGUGCAGCGGGGCCGGGGGGGCCGGGGGGGUGCUGAGGCGGUGGCUGUGGCCCUGGAGGGUCUCCAGCGAGCUGGGGGGGGCGGGCAGGAGGUGCUGCGAGGGGAGCAGGGAGGGGGGCAUCACCGAGCUGCCCGGGGUUGCAGCGGGAGCACGGCACGCUGCGGGGGGCUCGCGCCCUCGGGGGCAGCUCCUGGAGCAUCCACCCUGGGGGGGGGACACACUGGAGACCCCCAUCUCCCGCACGUCCCAGCCCCCCGAGGUGCAGGAAGAGGCCCGGACCCCCUCCUACCUGCGCAGAGAUGGGGGCUGUCACGGCGGGGGGGGGCAGGAUCCAGUCGCACCAGGAGCCUGCGCGGGGAGAGCGGGAGGGCAGCGUGGAGACCCUGCUUUGGGGCUGGGGUCUCCCGUUCCUGGGGGGCACAGCGAGCAGCCGUGCCCCCUCCCCCGCCCUGGGUGCAGCCGUGCUCCCCCCCAGGGCAGCCCCCAGCCCCUGCCCGGGGUUUUGGGAGGGGGUCCCGUCCCCGUCCCCUCCGCCCGGGGCUGUCACCUGCACCGCCGGCCUCCAGCCUCUGCUUGGCCUCCCGCCGCCACUUGGCCCUUCUGUUUGAGAACCAGACCUGGGAGAGGAGGGAGGGGGUGAGGCUGUGCUCCCCCCCCCGGGGAUGGGCUCUGGGCAGAGCCCCCUCCCUCGGUCACGCUGGGCUGGGGACCUGGGGCUCUGCCCAGGGCCAGCCGGGUGGGGGGAGCCCCUCCAGGGCACGGGGGCUGCUGCCACGGAGCAGCCUGGGGGUGUCCCCCCCCCCAGCACCCGGUCCUUGCCCCCGUCAGACAGGGGAGGGCAGGAGAAGCAGGCAGGUACCGACGGAGCAGCCCUGCCCCUCUCCUGGGGACAAAACCUGCUCCUGGGGGUCCCCCCCUCUCCAUUCCGG
Long non-coding RNA from Cairina moschata (Muscovy duck), 1779 nucleotides. The record is from Ensembl. Lineage: Eukaryota; Metazoa; Chordata; Aves; Anseriformes; Anatidae.